This 492-nucleotide ribosomal RNA is filed under the name uncultured bacterium. RNAcentral's name for it is "partial 16S ribosomal RNA". It matches the Rfam family "Bacterial small subunit ribosomal RNA", at positions 29 to 507 of the family's 1533-position model. The record is from RNAcentral.
AGUGAACGCUGGCGAUAGGCCUAACACAUGCAGGUCGAACGGCAGCACAGUAAGAGCUUGCUCUUACGGGUGGCGAGUGGCGGACGGGUGAGGAAUACAUCGGAAUCUACUUUUUCGUGGGGGAUAACGUAGGGAAACUUACGCUAAUACCGCAUACGACCUACGGGUGAAGGCAGGGGAUCUUCGGACCUUGCGCGAUUGAAUGAGCCGAUGUCGGAUUAGCUAGUUGGCGGGGUAAAGGCCCACAAAGGCGACGAUCCGUAGCUGGUCUGAGAGGAUGAUCAGCCACACUGGAACUGAGACACGGUCCAGACUCCUACGGGAGGCAGCAGUGGGGAAUAUUGGACAAUGGGCGCAAGCCUGAUCCAGCCAUACCGCGUGGGUGAAGAAGGCCUUCGGGUUGUAAAGCCCUUUUGUUGGGAAAGAAAAGCAGCAGGUUAAUACCCCGCUGUUCUGACGGUACCCAAAGAAUAAGCACCGGCUAACUUCGUG